AUAAACCCUAACCAUGCAACCCAUGCAAAAACCAUGCAAAACUCACUUAAAACCCUUCAAAACAUACGUAAAACAUCAAGAAAGAUGAGGAUCCAUGCUUAACUCUUGAAGAUCGAGAGGAUUGAUGGUCUAAACUCGGAGAUGCAAGAGAAAACAGAUCUAGAACCUCCAAGCCUCACAACUUUGCUUCUUUGCUCAAAAACCUUAAAACUAACAUGAAAACUAGUUAAAACUUACUCAACUUUGAAGAAAACAAAGAAAUCCACCAAAGGAGGUCAAGAACUCACCUAUACCCGAAAAGAGAGAGAAAACUCACCUCAAAUCCGGAUAAGGGGCCCUUUUAUAGGUGGCCGGUCAACCACUUUCGGCAGCCAGAGCUGCCUUCACAGCUCCACCACUUUCGGAAGCCGAACUUGGCCUUCGGUGGCAACAAAAACAAGCCACCUUCGGCGGCCGAAAGUGAGGUUCGGCGGCCGAAAGUGAGGUUCGGCGGCCGAAAGUGAGGUUCGGCGGCCAAACCUUAUAUUUCCCUUCUUGGUCUUUUCUUUUCAAAACUUCAACUUUUCUUACUCAAAACACUUAAAAACAUUCAAAACAUUUUAGAAACCUUUAUUUUACCCUUCUAGGAAACUCC
RNAcentral lists this long non-coding RNA (634 nucleotides) under Manihot esculenta (cassava). Its description in RNAcentral is "long non-coding RNA (MESC_LNC001539)". The record is from RNAcentral. Lineage: Eukaryota; Viridiplantae; Streptophyta; Magnoliopsida; Malpighiales; Euphorbiaceae.